Molecule: ribosomal RNA, 253 nt
Filed under: uncultured bacterium
Lineage: Bacteria
Description: partial 16S ribosomal RNA
Rfam family: Bacterial small subunit ribosomal RNA
Source: RNAcentral
GACGAACCGAGCGACCGUUAUUCGGAAUCACUGGGCUUAAAGGGUGCGUAGGCGGCGCGGUAAGUCGGGUGUGAAAUCUCGGAGCUUAACUCCGAAACUGCAUUCGAUACUGCCGUGCUUGAGGACUGGAGAGGAGACUGGAAUUUACGGUGUAGCGGUGAAAUGCGUAGAUAUCGUAAGGAAGACCAGUGGCGAAGGCGGGUCUCUGGACAGUUCCUGACGCUGAGGCACGAAGGUCAGGGGAGCAAACGGG